Molecule: ribosomal RNA, 300 nt
Filed under: uncultured Haloferula sp.
Lineage: Bacteria; Pseudomonadati; Verrucomicrobiota; Verrucomicrobiia; Verrucomicrobiales; Verrucomicrobiaceae
Description: bacterial SSU rRNA
Rfam family: Bacterial small subunit ribosomal RNA
Source: RNAcentral
GCUACUAUGGGGCCGGCAGGGGGGGGAAGACAGGGGGUGGGAGAGGUAAUCGGAGUUACUGGGCCUAAAGCGAGCGUAGGUGGCUAAUUAAGUCAAAUGUGAAAUCCCCGAGCUUAACGUGGGAAUUGCAUUCGAUACUGGUUGGCUAGAGUAUGGGAGAGGAUGGUAGAAUUCCAGGUGUAGCGGUGAAAUGCGUAGAGAUCUGGAGGAAUACCGAUGGCGAAGGCAGCCAUCUGGCCUAAUACUGACACUGAGGUGCGAAAGCAUGGGGAGCAAACAGGAUUAGAUACCCUGGUAGUC